GUGAAGUGUUCAAGCUGGUGUCGUUUUGUAGAUGCCCCCCAUGUAUAGUUUGUGUAUUGUGUGAAGUGUUGGUGUCGGUAUCCUCACUAAUACUAACAAGGAUACAUCAUUUGCAUCGUCGCUGUAUUUUUGAAGGAAAGUUAUAGCUUCACCCUCAGUAUCAGAGGACUCGUAUAUAGCCCCUGGAAGCAAUACCGCCCUCGUCAUCCAGUUCUCAGGUUUGGAUAGUGUUCAACAGUAUUCCCGUUCUUAUAAUAACCGUAGUUGUGUUAGCCAUGUAUUUUUUGAGGAAGCGUUCAAAAAAUAAACAGCCCUUUGAUAAAUUCUAACAAUGGUUUCACUGUCGAUAUGUCGUAGCCAAGUAUUCGUCUGUAUAUAGCUUGAAAGCUGGAUAUAUGUAGCAAGCAUAAGCUGCAGUAUAAAAAAAAUCCCCCCGGAAAUAAGACAGUUAUUUACUUGAAUGCGCUACCAACAUUGUACUUUAUACUUGAAUAACGAACCAGUUGAGAUUGUAGUAAAUUCUUGCAAGUACCUUGGUACUAUAUUUAAAGACAAUGUCAGCUGGGGAUUAAAUGCUGAUACCUUAAUUAAAAAAUGAAACCAGAGAUUAUACAUACUUAGAAACUAAAUAUUUAAAGUAAAUAAAAAUAAGCUUUUUAUAACUGGUUUGUUGAAAAUUCCAUAUUUAUUAUGUGGUUUGGCAAUGUAAAUCUUAAAGACACGAACGCCUUGCAAAGAAUAGUAAAUCUGUGUUCAAAAAUAACCUGAAGUACAUUGCGCAGUCUGUCAUCCUUUUGUGACAAACUCUAGGUAAAUGUAAAUAUAUUUUGAAACCCCAGAACAUGCACUUUUCCAUGAGAAAACUUUUGUACCAGAGACCACAUGGUCUCCUGUACAAAAGUCAAGUGUGUAGGACAAAACGAGUUAAAUUCAUUUGUUUCAACCGG
This is a long non-coding RNA of Anneissia japonica, 947 nucleotides long. RefSeq lists it as uncharacterized. The transcript is spliced from 3 exons. NCBI's taxonomy places the organism in Eukaryota, Metazoa, Echinodermata, Crinoidea, Comatulida, Comatulidae. The record is from RefSeq and is a predicted model, not a curated record.